GCGAGUCGAGCGGUAGAGAGAAGCUUGCUUCUCUUGAGAGCGGCGGACGGGUGAGUAAUGCCUAGGAAUCUGCCUGGUAGUGGGGGAUAACGUUCGGAAACGGACGCUAAUACCGCAUACGUCCUACGGGAGAAAGCAGGGGACCUUCGGGCCUUGCGCUAUCAGAUGAGCCUAGGUCGGAUUAGCUAGUUGGUGGGGUAAUGGCUCACCAAGGCGACGAUCCGUAACUGGUCUGAGAGGAUGAUCAGUCACACUGGAACUGAGACACGGUCCAGACUCCUACGGGAGGCAGCAGUGGGGAAUAUUGGACAAUGGGCGAAAGCCUGAUCCAGCCAUGCCGCGUGUGUGAAGAAGGUCUUCGGAUUGUAAAGCACUUUAAGUUGGGAGGAAGGGUUGUAGAUUAAUACUCUGCAAUUUUGACGUUACCGACAGAAUAAGCACCGGCUAACUCUGUGCCAGCAGCCGCGGUAAUACAGAGGGUGCAAGCGUUAAUCGGAAUUACUGGGCGUAAAGCGCGCGUAGGUGGUUUGUUAAGUUGGAUGUGAAAUCCCCGGGCUCAACCGGGAACUGCAUUCAAAACUGACUGACUAGAGUAUGGUAAGGGGGGUGGAAUUUCCUG
RNAcentral lists this ribosomal RNA (619 nucleotides) under Pseudomonas sp. LS89. RNAcentral describes it as "bacterial SSU rRNA". It matches the Rfam family "Bacterial small subunit ribosomal RNA", at positions 57 to 673 of the family's 1533-position model. Lineage: Bacteria; Pseudomonadati; Pseudomonadota; Gammaproteobacteria; Pseudomonadales; Pseudomonadaceae. The record is from RNAcentral.